GCCGCAGUAGCUCAGGGUGGAGCAUUCGAUUCGUAAUCGAGCGGUCGUGAGUUCAAAUCUCAACUGUGGCU
RNAcentral lists this transfer RNA (71 nucleotides) under Gemmatimonadaceae bacterium. RNAcentral describes it as "tRNA-Thr". It matches the Rfam family "tRNA". Rfam says of the family: Transfer RNA (tRNA) molecules are approximately 80 nucleotides in length. Their secondary structure includes four short double-helical elements and three loops (D, anti-codon, and T loops). Further hydrogen bonds mediate the characteristic L-shaped molecular structure. tRNAs have two regions of fundamental functional importance: the anti-codon, which is responsible for specific mRNA codon recognition, and the 3' end, to which the tRNAs corresponding amino acid is attached (by aminoacyl-tRNA synthetases). tRNAs cope with the degeneracy of the genetic code in two manners: having more than one tRNA (with a specific anti-codon) for a particular amino acid; and 'wobble' base-pairing, i.e. permitting non-standard base-pairing at the 3rd anti-codon position. Lineage: Bacteria; Pseudomonadati; Gemmatimonadota; Gemmatimonadia; Gemmatimonadales; Gemmatimonadaceae. The record is from RNAcentral.